This 504-nucleotide ribosomal RNA is filed under the name uncultured Glomeromycotina. Its description in RNAcentral is "SSU rRNA". It matches the Rfam family "Eukaryotic small subunit ribosomal RNA", at positions 569 to 1077 of the family's 1831-position model. Lineage: Eukaryota; Fungi; Glomeromycota. The record is from RNAcentral.
AGCAGCCGCGGUAAUUCCAGCUCCAAUAGCGUAUAUUAAAGUUGUUGCAGUUAAAAAGCUCGUAGUUGAAUUUCAGGCCUGGCUGGACGGUCCGCCCUUCGGGUGAGUACUGUCUGUGGUCGGGUCCUACCUUCUGGCGAAGCGUCAUGGCCUUAACCGGCCGUGGCGGGGAACCAGGACUUUUACUGUGAAAAAAUUAGAGUGUUCAAAGCAGGCAAUCGCUCGGAUACAUUAGCAUGGAAUAAUGGAAUAGGACAAUGGUUCUAUUUGUUGGUUUCUAGGACCGUUGUAAUGAUUAAUAGGGAUAGUUGGGGGCAUUAGUAUUCAAUUGUCAGAGGUGAAAUUCUUGGAUUUAUUGAAGACUAACUACUGCGAAAGCAUUUGCCAAGGAUGUUUUCAUUAAUCAAGAACGAAAGUUAGGGGAUCGAAGACGAUCAGAUACCGUCGUAGUCUUAACCAUAAACUAUGCCGACUAGGAAUCGGGCGAUGUUGACAAAAUGACGC